This 502-nucleotide ribosomal RNA is filed under the name uncultured bacterium. RNAcentral's name for it is "partial 16S ribosomal RNA". It matches the Rfam family "Bacterial small subunit ribosomal RNA", at positions 28 to 507 of the family's 1533-position model. The record is from RNAcentral.
GACGAACGCUGGCGGCGUGCCUAAUACAUGCAAGUCGAACGAACCGCGACUAGGUGCUUGCACUUGGUCAAGGUGAGUGGCGAACGGGUGAGUAACACGUGGGUAACCUACCUCAUAGUGGGGGAUAACAGUCGGAAACGACUGCUAAUACCGCAUAGGACAUAGGAUCACAUGAUUCUGUGAGGAAAGGUGGCGCAAGCUAUCGCUAAGAGAUGGACCCGCGGUGCAUUAGCUAGUUGGUAGGGUAAAGGCCUACCAAGGCGAUGAUGCAUAGCCGACCUGAAGGGGUGAUCGGCCACAUUGGGACUGAGACACGGCCCAACCUCCUACGGGAGGCAGCAGUAGGGAAUCUUCCGCAAUGGACGCAAGUCUGACGGAGCAACGCCGCGUGAGUGAAGAAGGUCUUCGGAUCGUAAAGCUCUGUUGUUAGAGAAGAACAGCGCAUAGAGUAACUGUUAUGCGUGUGACGGUAUCUAACCAGAAAGCCACGGCUAACUACGUG